GGCCUGAGCUUUCCUGCUAUCAGUUGAUUGGAAAUUCCACCUAAAUGUGUCCUUGCCUUAUCCUGUUCUGAUGUACGUGUCUUCUGAUCAAGGGACACCAGGAGACAGACAGCAGGUGAUGGGCAUGCCAAAGAGAAAAAGAAGUCUUCACACAACCAGUGGCUCAAAUCCCCAAAGUGGAACUGCAAGGUCAAAAGGAUCUUUAGUGAAACAUGUGGAUGCAGAACAAGAGCAGAAUGAUGUCAACUUGAUCUCGAUGUAUUCACAUGUGAAAUAUCUUAAAAUAUUUUGCUAGCAAAACAAAAGACGCCUACUGUCUUAAUUGGGCACUGACACUUUCUUUAAACAAUAUAGGCAAAUAGUAUAAAGUGAGAACAUCAGCACCAAAAAAACCCAAAACCAAAAUGAAGCAAAACACAAAAAAAUAAACGUAAACCCUAAUUGUGAGUUCGUGAAAUUCUUACUGGUGAGAUGGUAAUGUUUUGUGGUCUGAAUUUCUUCAUGAAUGAAUAGAUAUCCCCUGUGAAACCAUAUCAUCCGCUCACCCGUUCACUCUGUGUUCCUCUUUCCAGUGUUUUCACGUCUUUUCUAUUUGUCUCUGUAAAUUCACUCAUUCUUCCCAAUCUUCUGUUCCUAUACUUUGAAUCUUUUAUCAGUUGAUAAUAACCUUUAUCAAAUAGUAGUUUGCAUUUGUUUAUCCUUGGCUGAUUCAAAGCACUUGGUAUAAUUUCCUUCAAAUCAUCUUUCUCCCAUCUCACAAUACUGCAUUAUUUUCAAUUAAUUCCCAAUAAACUCUUAAUUGUCCG
RNAcentral lists this long non-coding RNA (806 nucleotides) under Equus caballus (horse). RNAcentral's name for it is "lncRNA (ENSECAG00000054377.1)". Lineage: Eukaryota; Metazoa; Chordata; Mammalia; Perissodactyla; Equidae. The record is from RNAcentral.